Molecule: small RNA, 87 nt
Filed under: Legionella quinlivanii
Lineage: Bacteria; Pseudomonadati; Pseudomonadota; Gammaproteobacteria; Legionellales; Legionellaceae
Description: t44 RNA
Rfam family: t44 RNA
About the family: This family consists of a number of bacterial RNA genes of between 135 and 170 bases in length.
Source: Rfam by way of RNAcentral
CUAGCGCGCUUUUAACGACACACACGUUUCGUCACAUAAAGCGGGGUCCCCAUGUGGGGUGCUUUAUGGGAAGCGUGGAGGCAUAAC